RNAcentral lists this ribosomal RNA (253 nucleotides) under uncultured bacterium. RNAcentral describes it as "partial 16S ribosomal RNA". It matches the Rfam family "Bacterial small subunit ribosomal RNA", at positions 524 to 776 of the family's 1533-position model. The record is from RNAcentral.
CACGUAGGGCGCAAGCGUUGUUCGGAAUUACUGGGCGUAAAGGGCGCGUAGGCGGCCUACUAAGUCAGACGUGAAAUCCCCAGGCUUAACUUGGGAACUGCGUCUGAUACUGGAAGGCUUGAGUGCGGGAGAGGGAUGUGGAAUUCCAGGUGUAGCGGUGAAAUGCGUAGAUAUCUGGAGGAACACCGGUGGCGAAGGCGGCAUCCUGGACCGACACUGACGCUGAGGCGCGAAAGCCAGGGGAGCAAACGGG